GGUAGAUGAGAAGAGAAAUAGAUUAAAUGAGAAGAGAGAGAAUAUGCAGAGAUGAGAGAAGAGUAUUCCUUUCUAUUGAUUCUUGGAAUUAGCAUGAAUGAAUACAGAUAAUGAUUCACCUUUUAUACAAGAAUACUGCAUCUAAUACUAACUAAUUUUGUUAUUCUAGACUACUUCCUUCCAAACUAACAACAUUUCCCUUCAAAACACUUCCUACCUGACUCUUUUAUUGCUUAGUACUAUUUCUCCUCUUUCUCCUAUAGUAUGUAACAUCAUAUUGGGUUAUCCUUUAUAUAGCUAGUAUCCAAGGGUCUUGAAAUACAAUGAUGCCUCUUUUCCAAUAGAACAAGUUGGCCCAAACGUAGACUUCCUAAGUUAAAUAGGAAUCCAUUUCCAAAUGGGAAUUUUACCAGUCUUCCAUUAAUCAUGAUCCAAUGCCAACAAAUAGCCAAUGUACAUGGACAGGUCCAUGGCUGUGGGGAUGACUGUGUACCUUUCUGAAACCAAGUCACAUUCUCACACAGACUGGUACAUGGCCAUGGGAUGACCGUGUACCUUUCUGGAGUUUAGUCACCUUCUCACACAGCUGAGCCAUGUGGCUUCUACAUUUCACAUGGACAGGCCAUGUGACUUACUGCUCCAUCCAACAUUGUCUACUUUGAACCAUCCCCUCCUUUGCUUGGGACAAUUAGGCGUAUAGCUUCUCUGAAUAUGAGCCACCUAACUCAAUAUAUAGAUGAUGAUUAUGUAAAUGAAUAUAUAGCUGAUGUUGCUACUAUUAAUUUUCAAAGCACUGAUUAAUAGUUGAUUCAUUCAACAGGUAUCAUUGCCUAGAUCAUGUCAAUCCAGCAGAAUUUUUGGCUGAUCUCAUAUCUAUUGACUAUAGUUCUGCUGAAAGUGUGUACUCAUCUCAGAAAAGGAUAGAUGGUCUUGUUGAGUCAUUCUCACAACAAUUGUCAAUGAUGCUUUAUGCAACUCCCCUUACCAGAAGGGAGAGCCCUAAGAAUGACAGGAAGUUAAGCAAGAAAACUGUUGUGAAAAGGAAAGAGUCUUGGUGGAGGCAAUUCUGGUUGCUCCUUAAACGUGCAUGGAUGCAAGUUUGUUUCUCAACUGUCACUUGAAUAAUUUUUAUGUGUUCAAAUGUUCUCAUUUUAUGACAUAAUGUGAUGCAGCCAAUUCCCUGUAUCUUAUAAAAAGGAAGUCUGCUCAAAUAGUUGGGCUCAAGAUAAACUACAGACAUGACAUUGUUUUACUUUAUUUUUCUUUAACUUUAAUCUUAGCUUCUUUAUUUAGCUGCUUACCAGUCAGCCAACCAGCAAUUUCCAAGAGCAUAACUUCAUCUUUUACCCAAUUUUAGAUGACCAAUUCACUCCUUUGGCCUAGAAUUACAACCACAGAAAUACAAUAUAGGACAAUUUUGUUAAGCAAAUUCAUAAAAUUUAUUAGAUUCUCAUUAAAAUUGAAUGAGACGAACUAGGAUGGUCAAUAAGUUCUUGUAGUUUUUUAAUAGAUAUUAAUUCUCAAAUAAAUAUAACCUGAUUAAAUCCUUUUAAUGAGUUGCUAGGCUUCUCGAGAUGGGCCAACAAACAAAGUUCGGGCAAGAAUGUCAAUUGCGUCAGCUAUAAUAUUUGGAUCAGUUUUCUGGAGAAUGGGAAGAUCUCAGACAUCAAUACAAGACAGGAUGGGAUUGCUCCAGGUCACAGCAAUAAACACAGCAAUGGCUGCUCUCACAAAAACUGUGGGUGUGUUUCCCAAGGAACGUGCAAUUGUAGAUAGAGAGCGUGCAAAGGGAUCAUAUGCAUUAGGACCAUAUCUGCUCUCUAAAUUGAUAGCUGAGAUUCCUGUUGGAGCUGCAUUUCCAUUAAUGUUUGGUGCUUUAUUGUAUCCCAUGGCACGUCUCCAUCCCACUUUGUCUAGGUUUGGAAAGUUCUGUGGAAUUGUGACAGCAGAAUCAUUUGCUGCAUCUGCUAUGGGUCUAACUGUGGGAGCUAUGGUUCCAACCACUGAAGCAGCAAUGGCACUAGGACCAUCUCUUAUGACAGUUUUUAUUGUAUUUGGGGGGUAUUAUGUUAAUGCAGAUAAUACACCAAUCAUCUUCCGAUGGAUACCUAAUG
This 2114-nucleotide unclassified non-coding RNA is filed under the name Hevea brasiliensis (rubber tree). Lineage: Eukaryota; Viridiplantae; Streptophyta; Magnoliopsida; Malpighiales; Euphorbiaceae. The record is from RNAcentral.